Molecule: ribosomal RNA, 254 nt
Filed under: uncultured bacterium
Lineage: Bacteria
Description: partial 16S ribosomal RNA
Rfam family: Bacterial small subunit ribosomal RNA
Source: RNAcentral
UACGAAGGGGGCUAGCGUUGUUCGGAAUUACUGGGCGUAAAGCGCGCGCAGGCGGCUAUCCAAGUCAGUGGUGAAAGCCCGGAGCUCAACUCCGGAACUGCCAUUGAAACUGUUUAGCUUGAGGAUGAGAGAGGUGAGUGGAAUUCCCAGUGUAGAGGUGAAAUUCGUAGAUAUUGGGGAAGAACACCGGUGGCGAAGGCGGCUCACUGGCUCAUUACUGACGCUCAGGCGCGAUAGCGUGGGGAUCAAACAGG